Molecule: transfer RNA, 75 nt
Filed under: Candidatus Aminicenantes bacterium 4484_214
Lineage: Bacteria; Candidatus Aminicenantota
Also listed under: 2 other names
Description: tRNA-Glu
Rfam family: tRNA
About the family: Transfer RNA (tRNA) molecules are approximately 80 nucleotides in length. Their secondary structure includes four short double-helical elements and three loops (D, anti-codon, and T loops). Further hydrogen bonds mediate the characteristic L-shaped molecular structure. tRNAs have two regions of fundamental functional importance: the anti-codon, which is responsible for specific mRNA codon recognition, and the 3' end, to which the tRNAs corresponding amino acid is attached (by aminoacyl-tRNA synthetases). tRNAs cope with the degeneracy of the genetic code in two manners: having more than one tRNA (with a specific anti-codon) for a particular amino acid; and 'wobble' base-pairing, i.e. permitting non-standard base-pairing at the 3rd anti-codon position.
Source: RNAcentral
GCCCCUGUCGUCUAGCCAGGCCUAGGACAUCGCCCUUUCAAGGCGGCAACACGGGUUCGAAUCCCGUCGGGGGCG